AACUUUUAAUAACAAAUCUCUUAAUUCUAAUAUUAAUAAAGAACGUAGCGAAAUACAAUAAGUAAUAUAAAUUAUAGAAUUUAGUAAAUUAUUAAAUCUUUAAACGUAUAUUACACUUACUAAUAUUCUAGUAAGUAUAUUUAUUUAAACGUUA
RNAcentral lists this ribosomal RNA (154 nucleotides) under Neurospora crassa OR74A. RNAcentral describes it as "Neurospora crassa rRNA NCU17363". It matches the Rfam family "5.8S ribosomal RNA". Rfam says of the family: 5.8S ribosomal RNA (5.8S rRNA) is a component of the large subunit of the eukaryotic ribosome. It is transcribed by RNA polymerase I as part of the 45S precursor that also contains 18S and 28S rRNA. Functionally, it is thought that 5.8S rRNA may be involved in ribosome translocation. Lineage: Eukaryota; Fungi; Ascomycota; Sordariomycetes; Sordariales; Sordariaceae. The record is from Rfam by way of RNAcentral.